RNAcentral lists this ribosomal RNA (524 nucleotides) under uncultured Marmoricola sp. RNAcentral describes it as "bacterial SSU rRNA". It matches the Rfam family "Bacterial small subunit ribosomal RNA", at positions 96 to 633 of the family's 1533-position model. Lineage: Bacteria; Bacillati; Actinomycetota; Actinomycetes; Propionibacteriales; Nocardioidaceae. The record is from RNAcentral.
CGGCGAACGGGUGAGUAACACGUGAGCAAUCUGCCCUUCACAUCGGGAUAACCCCCGGAAACGGGAGCUAAUACCGGAUACGACCACUUCAGGCAUCUGAUGGUGGUGGAAAGUUCUGGCGGUGAAGGAUGAGCUCGCGGCCUAUCAGCUUGUUGGUGGGGUAAUGGCCCACCAAGGCUUCGACGGGUAGCCGGCCUGAGAGGGUGACCGGCCACACUGGGACUGAGACACGGCCCAGACUCCUACGGGAGGCAGCAGUGGGGAAUAUUGGACAAUGGGCGAAAGCCUGAUCCAGCAACGCCGCGUGAGGGAUGACGGCCUUCGGGUUGUAAACCUCUUUCAGCGCAGACGAAGCGAAAGUGACGGUAUGCGCAGAAGAAGCACCGGCCAACUACGUGCCAGCAGCCGCGGUAAUACGUAGGGUGCGAGCGUUGUCCGGAAUUAUUGGGCGUAAAGGGCUCGUAGGCGGUCUGUUGCGUCAGGAGUGAAAACUCGGGGCUUAACCCCGAGCCUGCUUCUGAUAC